AUUGAACGCUGGCGGCAUGCCUUACACAUGCAAGUCGAACGGUAACAGGUCUUCGGAUGCUGACGAGUGGCGAACGGGUGAGUAAUACAUCGGAACGUGCCCGAUCGUGGGGGAUAACGAGGCGAAAGCUUUGCUAAUACCGCAUACGAUCUACGGAUGAAAGCGGGGGAUCUUCGGACCUCGCGCGGACGGAGCGGCCGAUGGCAGAUUAGGUAGUUGGUGGGAUAAAAGCUUACCAAGCCGACGAUCUGUAGCUAGUCUGAGAGGAUGAUCAGCCACACUGGGACUGAGACACGGCCCAGACUCCUACGGGAGGCAGCAGUGGGGAAUUUUGGACAAUGGGCGAAAGCCUGAUCCAGCCAUGCCGCGUGCAGGAUGAAGGCCUUCGGGUUGUAAACUGCUUUUGUACGGAACGAAAAGCCUCUUUCUAAUAAAGAGGGGUCAUGACGGUACCGUAAGAAUAAGCACCGGCUAACUACGUG
RNAcentral lists this ribosomal RNA (482 nucleotides) under uncultured bacterium. RNAcentral's name for it is "partial 16S ribosomal RNA". It matches the Rfam family "Bacterial small subunit ribosomal RNA", at positions 30 to 507 of the family's 1533-position model. The record is from RNAcentral.